AUGGCGCCGAAGCGGAAGCUUAGCAUGGGGCGGCAGAAGAUCGAGAUCCGGCGGAUCGAGAGCGAGGAGGCGCGCCAGGUGUGCUUCUCCAAGCGCCGGGCGGGGCUGUUCAAGAAGGUGAGCGAGCUGGCCGUGCUCUGCGGCGCCGAGGUGGCCGCCGUCGUCUUCUCCCCGGCCGGCAAGGCCUUCUCCUUCGGCCACCCCUCCGUCGAGGCCAUCCUCGACCGCUUCAUCCCCUCCGCCGCGGCGCAGGUCGGGCCGGCGGCGGGCCUUGGUGCCGCCGGCGACCGCAACCUGGCGGAGCUGAACCGGCAGUACGGCCAGCUGCGCGAGCAGCUGGAGUCGGAGAAGGCGCGGAAGGAGCGCGCGGACGAGGCCAUGGAGAAGGAGCGCGCCACGGGGAGCCCGGCGGCGGCGUGGCUCGACGCCUACCUGCGCGACCUCGGGGAGGAGGAGCUGAUGGCCUUCGCCGCCGCGCUGGUGGACGUGCAGGGCGCCGUCUCCGCGCGCGCCAACCAGGUGCUCCAGGAGGCGCUGGACGUCGGCCGCGCCAGGAGCGCCAGCCGCAUGCUCCUGGCGCCCCCGCCGCAGCAGGAGCUCGCAGGCGGUGGUGGCUUUGAGUUCGCUAGCUGCGGCGCGAACUCUAGGAAUGAGAUGGAGAUGCAGCAGAUGUUGAUGGCCAUGCCGCCACCGCCGGAGUUCGCCGCUGCCGGAAUGGAGAUGAUACAAGUACAACAGGGGCUCGGGCCGAACGCCGGCUUACCCUACUGA
RNAcentral lists this ribosomal RNA (771 nucleotides) under Triticum aestivum (bread wheat). RNAcentral's name for it is "partial small subunit ribosomal RNA". Lineage: Eukaryota; Viridiplantae; Streptophyta; Magnoliopsida; Poales; Poaceae. The record is from RNAcentral.